Molecule: non-coding RNA, 45 nt
Filed under: Schistosoma margrebowiei
Lineage: Eukaryota; Metazoa; Platyhelminthes; Trematoda; Strigeidida; Schistosomatidae
Source: RNAcentral
GUCCAGCUGAUGAGUCCUAAAUAGGACGAAAUGCGCGUCCUGGAU